Molecule: non-coding RNA, 108 nt
Organism: Capsicum annuum
Lineage: Eukaryota; Viridiplantae; Streptophyta; Magnoliopsida; Solanales; Solanaceae
Source: Rfam
GUCUGAUGGUGGGAGGGAAAUCUCUAAGAUGAGAUUGGAAUCUCUCCCAUGCUUGAUAUAUUUUUUACCAAUUUUCUUCUUAAAACUUAAAAUCUCACUUUUCAACUU